RNAcentral lists this signal recognition particle RNA (98 nucleotides) under Eggerthellaceae bacterium. RNAcentral describes it as "signal recognition particle sRNA small type". It matches the Rfam family "Bacterial small signal recognition particle RNA". Rfam says of the family: The signal recognition particle (SRP) is a universally conserved ribonucleoprotein involved in the co-translational targeting of proteins to membranes. Lineage: Bacteria; Bacillati; Actinomycetota; Coriobacteriia; Eggerthellales; Eggerthellaceae. The record is from RNAcentral.
CGGUCGGAACAGGCGGCACCAAGUUUCGAACCUGGUCAGGUCCGGAAGGAAGCAGCCAUAAGGAACCGCUGAUGCGCGCCUGUUUCGUCCGGGAUACU